AGCGGCGGACGGGUGAGUAACGCGUGGGUAACCUGCCCUGUACACACGGAUAACAUACCGAAAGGUAUGCUAAUACGAGAUAAUAUGCUUUUAUCGCAUGGUAGAAGUAUCAAAGCUUUUGCGGUACAGGAUGGACCCGCGUCUGAUUAGCUAGUUGGUAAGGUAACGGCUUACCAAGGCGACGAUCUGUAGCCGACCUGAGAGGGUGAUCGGCCACAUUGGAACUGAGACACGGUCCAAACUCCUACGGGAGGCAGCAGUGGGGAAUAUUGCACAAUGGGCGAAAGCCUGAUGCAGCAACGCCGCGUGAGCGAUGAAGGCCUUCGGGUCGUAAAGCUCUGUCCUCAAGGAAGAUAAUGACGGUACUUGAGGAGGAAGCCCCGGCUAACUACGUGCCAGCAGCCGCGGUAAUACGUAGGGGGUUAGCGUUAUCCGGAAUUACUGGGCGUAAAGGGUGCGUAGGUGGUUUCUUAAGUCAGAGGUGAAAGGCUACGGCUCAACCGUAGUAAGCCUUUGAAACUGGGAAACUUGAGUGCAGGAGAGGAGAGUGGAAUUCCUAGUGUAGCGGUGAAAUGCGUAGAUAUUAGGAGGAACACCA
RNAcentral lists this ribosomal RNA (598 nucleotides) under uncultured Clostridium sp. Its description in RNAcentral is "bacterial SSU rRNA". It matches the Rfam family "Bacterial small subunit ribosomal RNA", at positions 94 to 711 of the family's 1533-position model. Lineage: Bacteria; Bacillati; Bacillota; Clostridia; Eubacteriales; Clostridiaceae. The record is from RNAcentral.